Molecule: transfer RNA, 75 nt
Filed under: Stutzerimonas stutzeri
Lineage: Bacteria; Pseudomonadati; Pseudomonadota; Gammaproteobacteria; Pseudomonadales; Pseudomonadaceae
Also listed under: 212 other names
Description: Pseudomonas stutzeri tRNA-Thr
Rfam family: tRNA
About the family: Transfer RNA (tRNA) molecules are approximately 80 nucleotides in length. Their secondary structure includes four short double-helical elements and three loops (D, anti-codon, and T loops). Further hydrogen bonds mediate the characteristic L-shaped molecular structure. tRNAs have two regions of fundamental functional importance: the anti-codon, which is responsible for specific mRNA codon recognition, and the 3' end, to which the tRNAs corresponding amino acid is attached (by aminoacyl-tRNA synthetases). tRNAs cope with the degeneracy of the genetic code in two manners: having more than one tRNA (with a specific anti-codon) for a particular amino acid; and 'wobble' base-pairing, i.e. permitting non-standard base-pairing at the 3rd anti-codon position.
Source: RNAcentral
GCUGCGGUAGCUCAGUGGUAGAGCACUCCAUUGGUAAUGGAGAGGUCGAGAGUUCAAUCCUCUCUCGCAGCACCA